GUUUAGCCCGGAUUGUCGUGGAAAUAUAGCACUACAAAUUCUUAUGUUUUCCUGACUUAAAGAGCGACUAGCGGAAGCUCAUUUAAGGUAGAAAGAAAACAAAGAAUAUGGAGUGCGGUAUUGUAGCAAAAGCCGGAAACAGC
Molecule: small RNA, 143 nt
Filed under: Flavobacterium tiangeerense
Lineage: Bacteria; Pseudomonadati; Bacteroidota; Flavobacteriia; Flavobacteriales; Flavobacteriaceae
Description: Flavo-1 RNA
Source: RNAcentral